AACGCACCUUGCACUCUCCAGUAUUCUGGAGAGUAUGCCUGGUUGAGUGUUUUGACUUCCUCAACUCCCUUGGCUUCUUUGCCUUGGGCAGCUUGGAGAUGGACGUCUGCUGGCUCUCGCAGCCGGCUCGUCCGAAAUACAUCGUGGCCGCUCCUGCAAGGAGCUGGGAACAUGACGUUGUAGGUUCAUCCACCCCGUUGUCGACCCUUCUCUCUUGUGGCCAUCAAACCUGCCGUCGGCUUAGCAGCCUUCGUCACUCUGACCAUUACACCUCAACUCAGGCAAGACUACCCGCUGAACUUAA
This 304-nucleotide unclassified non-coding RNA is filed under the name uncultured fungus. RNAcentral's name for it is "partial contains 5.8S ribosomal RNA, internal transcribed spacer 2, and large subunit ribosomal RNA". The record is from RNAcentral. Lineage: Eukaryota; Fungi.